GGAAGUAAAAGCCGUAACAAGGUUUCCGUAGGUGAACCUGCGGAAGGAUCAUUCAUAAUAAGUGUUUUACUGCACUUUUUAAAAAUAGUACUCACCUUGUGUGCAAUGUUGUGUUUCUUUUCGGAGAAACACCUACACCAACCUAUAACCUUGAACCACCUUGUCUGAAAAACUAUUAUGAAUACUUAAUUCAAAAUACAACUUUCAACAACGGAUCUCUUGGCUCUC
This 228-nucleotide unclassified non-coding RNA is filed under the name plant metagenome. Its description in RNAcentral is "partial contains small subunit ribosomal RNA, internal transcribed spacer 1, and 5.8S ribosomal RNA". The stretch from base 1 to 54 matches the Rfam family "Eukaryotic small subunit ribosomal RNA", at positions 1778 to 1831 of the family's 1831-position model. The record is from RNAcentral.